This 512-nucleotide ribosomal RNA is filed under the name uncultured bacterium. RNAcentral's name for it is "partial 16S ribosomal RNA". It matches the Rfam family "Bacterial small subunit ribosomal RNA", at positions 28 to 523 of the family's 1533-position model. The record is from RNAcentral.
GACGAACGCUGGCGGCGUGCCUAAUACAUGCAAGUCGAGCGAAUCUCGAGGAGCUUGCUCCUUGAGGUUAGCGGCGGACGGGUGAGUAACACGUGGGCAACCUGCCUGUAAGACUGGGAUAACACCGGGAAACCGGUGCUAAUACCGGAUAAUUCUUUCCCUCACAUGAGGGAAAGCUGAAAGUUGGUUUCGGCUGACACUUACAGAUGGGCCCGCGGCGCAUUAGCUAGUUGGUGAGGUAACGGCUCACCAAGGCGACGAUGCGUAGCCGACCUGAGAGGGUGAUCGGCCACACUGGGACUGAGACGCGGCCCAGACUCCUACGGGAGGCAGCAGUAGGGAAUCUUCCGCAAUGGACGAAAGUCUGACGGAGCAACGCCGCGUGAGUGAUGAAGGCCUUCGGGUCGUAAAACUCUGUUGUUAGGGAAGAACAAGUACCGGAGUAACUGCCGGUACCUUGACGGUACCUAACCAGAAAGCCACGGCUAACUACGUGCCAGCCGCCGCAGUAA